Molecule: transfer RNA, 75 nt
Filed under: Candidatus Woesearchaeota archaeon
Lineage: Archaea; Nanobdellati; Candidatus Woesearchaeota
Description: tRNA-Ile
Rfam family: tRNA
About the family: Transfer RNA (tRNA) molecules are approximately 80 nucleotides in length. Their secondary structure includes four short double-helical elements and three loops (D, anti-codon, and T loops). Further hydrogen bonds mediate the characteristic L-shaped molecular structure. tRNAs have two regions of fundamental functional importance: the anti-codon, which is responsible for specific mRNA codon recognition, and the 3' end, to which the tRNAs corresponding amino acid is attached (by aminoacyl-tRNA synthetases). tRNAs cope with the degeneracy of the genetic code in two manners: having more than one tRNA (with a specific anti-codon) for a particular amino acid; and 'wobble' base-pairing, i.e. permitting non-standard base-pairing at the 3rd anti-codon position.
Source: RNAcentral
GGGCCCGUAGCUCAGCUUGGUUAGAGCGCUGGUCUUAUAAGCCAGAGGUCCUGGGUUCAAAUCCCAGCGGGCCCA